AUUGAACGCUGGCGGCAGGCCUAACACAUGCAAGUCGAGCGAGCGGCGGACGGGUGAGUAAUGUCUGGGAAACUGUCUGAUGGAGGGGGAUAACUCCUGGAAACGGUAGCUAAUACCGCAUACAAUAUGCUGUGCCCAGAUGGGAUUAGCUGGUAGGUGGGGUAAAGGCUCACAUAGGCGACGAUCCCUAGCUGGUCUGAGAGGAUGACCAGCCACACUGGGACUGAGACACGGUCCAGACUCCUACGGGAGGCAGCAGUGGGGAAUAUUGCACAAUGGGCGCAAGCCUGAUGCAGCCAUGCCGCGUGUAUGAAGAAGGCCUUCGGGUUGUAAAGCACUUUCAGCGGGGAGGCGUUACCCGCAGAAGAAGCACCGGCUAACUCCGUGCCAGCAGCCGCGGUAAUAC
Molecule: ribosomal RNA, 406 nt
Filed under: uncultured bacterium
Lineage: Bacteria
Description: partial 16S ribosomal RNA
Rfam family: Bacterial small subunit ribosomal RNA
Source: RNAcentral